RNAcentral lists this long non-coding RNA (223 nucleotides) under Mytilus galloprovincialis (Mediterranean mussel). Lineage: Eukaryota; Metazoa; Mollusca; Bivalvia; Mytilida; Mytilidae. The record is from RNAcentral.
AAAAGAUCGAUGUAGGAUAAAAAACUUAAAUCAAAUAGUUUGGGGGUGGGGGAGUCAACAUUGCUGCAAGUUUUGUUAAUCUAAAAUCGAUUUUACAAAUAUCCCUAUUGGUCAAUCAAUUUUUCCCAAAUUAAGUUAAGAGGGGGAGUGUGGGGGUCAGUGAAAAAACUAUGUGAAUUAAGUUUUUUAUCCUUCAUUGAACUUUUGAUGUUGUCCCUUACUC